GGUUAGUCGGGACCUAAGCCGAGGCCGAAAGGCGUAGGUGAUGGACAACAGGUUGAAAUUCCUGUACCGCCAAUAAGCGUUUGAGAAAUGGGAUGACACAGUAGGACAGGAUGAGCGUGCUGUUGGUUAUGCACGUCCAAGCACUGAGGCAGUAUCCGGAGGCAAAUCCACGGAUAUAAUGCUGGGGUGUGACGGGGAGCGAAAUUUAGUAGCGAAGCAUCUGCAUUCACACUGUCGAGAAAAGUCUCUAUCGAGUUUAAAGGCGCCCGUACCGCAAACCGACACAGGUGGGUGAGGAGAGUAUCCUAAGGCCAGCGAGAGAACUGUUGUUAAGGAACUCGGCAAAAUGACCCCGUAACUUAGGGAUAAGGGGUGCCAUCGAAAGAUGGCCGCAGAGAAUAGGCCCAAGCGACUGUUUACCAAAAACAUAGGUUUCUGCUAAGUCGCAAGACGAUGUAUAGGAGCUGACGCCUGCCCGGUGCUGGAAGGUUAAGGGGAUCUGUUAGAGCAAUCGAAGCAGUGAACUUAAGCCCCAGUAAACGGCGGCCGUAACUAUAACGGUCCUAAGGUAGCGAAAUUCCUUGUCGGGUAAGUUCCGACCCGCACGAAAGGCGUAACGAUUUGGGCACUGUCUCAACAACAGACUCGGUGAAAUUGUAAUUCCGGUGAAGAUGCCGGAUACCUGCGACAGGACGGAAAGACCCCAUGGAGCUUUACUGUAGCUUGGCAUUGGGUCUUGGUACUACAUGUACAGCAUAGGUGGGAGGCUUUGAUUCCAGGACGCCAGUUUUGGAUGAGCCACCGUUGGGAUACCACCCCUGUAGUACUGGGACUCUAACCAGAGGCCUUGAAUCAGGUCUUGGGACACUGUCAGGCGGGCAGUUUGACUGGGGCGGUCGCCUCCCAAAAGGUAACGGAGGCGCUCAAAGGUUCUCUCAGCACGGUCGGAAAUCGUGCACAGAGUGUAAAGGCAUAAGAGAGCUUGAUUGCAAGACAUACAGGUCGAGCAAGGACGAAGUCGGACUUAGUGAUCCGGUGGUUCUGAGUGGAAGGGCCAUCGCUCAACGGAUAAAAGCUACCCUGGGGAUAACAGGCUUAUCUCCCCCAAGAGUCCACAUCGACGGGGAGGUUUGGCACCUCGAUGUCGGCUCAUCACAUCCUGGGGCUGUAGUAGGUCCCAAGGGUUGGGCUGUUCGCCCAUUAAAGUGGUACGCGAGCUGGGUUCAGAACGUCGUGAGACAGUUCGGUCCCUAUCCGUCGCAGGCGUAGGAAAUUUGAGAGGAUCUGCCCUUAGUACGAGAGGACCGGGGUGGACGUACCGCUGGUGUACCAGUUGUCUCGCCAGAGGCAUGGCUGGGUAGCUAUGUACGGAACGGAUAAGCGCUGAAAGCAUCUAAGCGCGAAGCCAGCCUU
RNAcentral lists this ribosomal RNA (1413 nucleotides) under Peptacetobacter hiranonis DSM 13275. Its description in RNAcentral is "bacterial LSU rRNA". It matches the Rfam family "Bacterial large subunit ribosomal RNA", at positions 1378 to 2800 of the family's 2925-position model. Lineage: Bacteria; Bacillati; Bacillota; Clostridia; Peptostreptococcales; Peptostreptococcaceae. The record is from RNAcentral.